This 171-nucleotide transfer RNA is filed under the name Brome mosaic virus. RNAcentral's name for it is "tRNA-like structure from brome mosaic virus RNA 3 from Brome mosaic virus (PDB 7SC6, chain C)". The stretch from base 39 to 167 matches the Rfam family "Pseudoknot of tRNA-like structure". Lineage: Riboviria; Orthornavirae; Kitrinoviricota; Alsuviricetes; Martellivirales; Bromoviridae. The record is from RNAcentral.
GGCGUGGUUGACACGCAGACCUCUUACAAGAGUGUCUAGGUGCCUUUGAGAGUUACUCUUUGCUCUCUUCGGAAGAACCCUUAGGGGUUCGUGCAUGGGCUUGCAUAGCAAGUCUUAGAAUGCGGGUACCGUACAGUGUUGAAAAACACUGUAAAUCUCUAAAAGAGACCA